Non-coding RNA from Hydra vulgaris (swiftwater hydra), 339 nucleotides. The record is from RefSeq and is a predicted model, not a curated record. NCBI's taxonomy places the organism in Eukaryota, Metazoa, Cnidaria, Hydrozoa, Anthoathecata, Hydridae.
CACGUUCCAUCUAAUUUUUAUUUUUGUUAUCAAUUGAAAAUUGUGGUAAUAUUGAUACAGGAAAACCUGUUAAUGAUCAUGGAACAAUUAUCCUUAUAAUUCUUUGAAUUCAAUGUAUUUACUCGACAACAUUAUGCUAUUUUAUAAUGGAACCAGUACAUUAGUCAAGGUUUGGAACUUCCCAAAGAUUCAAGGAGAAUUUUAAAAGCACCUUAUGAAAAGCGACUUAUAGACAGGAGCAUCAACUACAUCAAGUGUCAGUUAAUAUAUAUGUUUUGGUCAAAUACAUGUUUGUAUUUGAAAUAGAAGUUAUUAAAUGUUGGUGGCUCAUCAUGCAAU